This 1296-nucleotide ribosomal RNA is filed under the name Klebsiella pneumoniae. Its description in RNAcentral is "partial 23S ribosomal RNA". It matches the Rfam family "Bacterial large subunit ribosomal RNA", at positions 167 to 1509 of the family's 2925-position model. Lineage: Bacteria; Pseudomonadati; Pseudomonadota; Gammaproteobacteria; Enterobacterales; Enterobacteriaceae. The record is from RNAcentral.
UAGGUUAACGAGGCGAACCGGGGGAACUGAAACAUCUAAGUACCCCGAGGAAAAGAAAUCAACCGAGAUUCCCCCAGUAGCGGCGAGCGAACGGGGAGCAGCCCAGAGUCUGAAUCAGCUUGUGUGUUAGUGGAACGGUCUGGAAAGUCCGACGGUACAGGGUGAUAGUCCCGUACACCAAAAUGCACAGGCUGUGAACUCGAAGAGUAGGGCGGGACACGUGGUAUCCUGUCUGAAUAUGGGGGGACCAUCCUCCAAGGCUAAAUACUCCUGACUGACCGAUAGUGAACCAGUACCGUGAGGGAAAGGCGAAAAGAACCCCGGCGAGGGGAGUGAAAAAGAACCUGAAACCGUGUACGUACAAGCAGUGGGAGCACCUUCGGGUGUGACUGCGUACCUUUUGUAUAAUGGGUCAGCGACUUAUAUUCUGUAGCAAGGUUAACCGUAUAGGGGAGCCGCAGGGAAACCGAGUCUUAACUGGGCGUUAAGUUGCAGGGUAUAGACCCGAAACCCGGUGAUCUAGCCAUGGGCAGGUUGAAGGUUGGGUAACACUAACUGGAGGACCGAACCGACUAAUGUUGAAAAAUUAGCGGAUGACUUGUGGCUGGGGGUGAAAGGCCAAUCAAACCGGGAGAUAGCUGGUUCUCCCCGAAAGCUAUUUAGGUAGCGCCUCGUGAACUCAUCUUCGGGGGUAGAGCACUGUUUCGGCUAGGGGGUCAUCCCGACUUACCAACCCGAUGCAAACUACGAAUACCGAAGAAUGUUAUCACGGGAGACACACGGCGGGUGCUAACGUCCGUCGUGAAGAGGGAAACAACCCAGACCGCCAGCUAAGGUCCCAAAGUCAUGGUUAAGUGGGAAACGAUGUGGGAAGGCACAGACAGCCAGGAUGUUGGCUUAGAAGCAGCCAUCAUUUAAAGAAAGCGUAAUAGCUCACUGGUCGAGUCGGCCUGCGCGGAAGAUGUAACGGGGCUAAACCAUGCACCGAAGCUGCGGCAGCGACACUAUGUGUUGUUGGGUAGGGGAGCGUUCUGUAAGCCUGCGAAGGUGUGCUGUGAGGCAUGCUGGAGGUAUCAGAAGUGCGAAUGCUGACAUAAGUAACGAUAAAGCGGGUGAAAAGCCCGCUCGCCGGAAGACCAAGGGUUCCUGUCCAACGUUAAUCGGGGCAGGGUGAGUCGACCCCUAAGGCGAGGCCGAAAGGCGUAGUCGAUGGGAAACAGGUUAAUAUUCCUGUACUUGGUGUUACUGCGAAGGGGGGACGGAGAAGGCUAUGUUAGCCGGGCGACGGUUGUCCCG